CUGGCCGCCCCUGAAGUGCAACAAUCGGAUGGUCUCCAGCUGCGACAAAGACCCUCCUGUUACUGGGCAGGACGCGCCAUCCGUAGGGGCUGAUAUGGCAGAGAGUCUCCUUCUCAUGGUGUAGAAAUCCCCAAGUGCCUCCUCCUUCUCCCUGUUCUCACUGCCAGGUCAAACCUUUCUGGAGAGCUGGUCUUCAGGAGCAAGGGUAGUGGGAGUCUGGAGCAAGUUUCCCAGCCAUGCUGUCAAAACUGAUAGCCUGUCUUCAUGAAUUGGGCGACUGAACAAAUGAAGUAAAUGGGACAAAUGACUUCUCUCAUUGUUAAAGGUCAAGAUGUAGGACACAACCCUCCCUGUGCUUGCUGAACAAAACCCAGACAAGAUACUGAUGUAGACGUAGGUAUGAUCCCAAGGCACUGAAUCUGUGAGGAC
Non-coding RNA from Lepisosteus oculatus (spotted gar), 429 nucleotides. The record is from RefSeq and is a predicted model, not a curated record. NCBI's taxonomy places the organism in Eukaryota, Metazoa, Chordata, Actinopteri, Semionotiformes, Lepisosteidae.